GACGUCGAUAUUCGACGUCAUAAACACGAUCAACUUUGGUGUUUAUGACGUCGAUAUUCGACGUUAUAAACACGAUCAACUUUGGUGUUUAUGACGUCGAUAUUCGACGUCAUAAACACGAUCAACUUUGGUGUUUAUGACGUCGAUAUUCGACGUCAUAAACACGAUCAACUUUGGUGUUUAUGACGUCGAUAUUCGACGUCAUAAACACGAUCAACGUUGGUGUUUAUGACGUCGAUAUUCGACGUC
Paramuricea clavata is the source of this 249-nucleotide non-coding RNA. NCBI's taxonomy places the organism in Eukaryota, Metazoa, Cnidaria, Anthozoa, Malacalcyonacea, Plexauridae. The record is from the annotation of a GenBank genome assembly.